CCUGGUCCCUGUUCCAUUGGGGGUGUUCUCCGUGAUCACAGAGGUUUAUACAAUUGUCUUUUCCAAGUGAUGCAAAUUUGGCUGCGGAUUGUUUAGCUAAGCAGGGUCACUCUCGCACGUCUUCAUGGCUUUCUUUUAGAAUAGUCUUUUGUUGAUUUCCUAUGAUUUGAAUUUAGUUGAAUUGUACAUUUUCUUUUUGGGUUCUUAUUGGGGUGAGGCGUUUGCUGCUUUAGGUCCGGUCUUGUGGGGAAUGCCUGUUGGCAUGGGUUAGGUUGCAGCUCUCCUCAUCUUUU
RNAcentral lists this unclassified non-coding RNA (293 nucleotides) under Hevea brasiliensis (rubber tree). Lineage: Eukaryota; Viridiplantae; Streptophyta; Magnoliopsida; Malpighiales; Euphorbiaceae. The record is from RNAcentral.